AGAGUUUGAUCAUGGCUCAGGAUAAACGCUGGCGGCGUGCGUAAAACAUGUAAGUCGAACGGGGUGAGGCCGCAANNNNGNCCCAGUGGCGGCCGGCUGAGUAACGCGUAGGUGACUUGCCCUAAAGUGGGGAAUAACGAUUCGAAAGAAUCGCUAAUACCGCAUGUGGUUGUACGUAUAGACACGCGCAACUAAAGCUCGCAAGGGCGCUUUGGGAGAGGCCUGCGUCCGAUUAGCUAGUUGGUGGGGUAACGGCCUACCAAGGCUCCGAUCGGUAGCUGAUCUGAGAGGAUGAUCAGCCAGACUGGGACUGAGACACGGCCCAGACUCCUACGGGAGGCAGCAGUUAGGAAUUUUGCACAAUGGGCGAAAGCCUGAUGCAGCAACGCCGCGUGGACGAUGAAGGCCUUCGGGUCGUAAAGUCCUUUUCAGAGGGAAGACACAGACGGUACCUCUGGAAUAAGCCUCGGCUAACUACGUGCCAGCAGCCGCGGUAAUACGUAGGAGGCGAGCGUUAUCCGGAUUUACUGGGCGUAAAGAGCGCGUAGGUGGUUUCGUAAGUUGGACGUGAAAGCCCCCGGCUUAACUGGGGAGGGUCGUUCAAUACUGCGGGACUUGAGGGUGGAAGAGGAGACUGGAAUUCCCGGUGUAGUGGUGAAAUGCGUAGAUAUCGGGAGGAACACCUGUGGCGUAGGCGAGUCUCUAGGCCAUUCCUGACACUGAGGCGCGAAAGCGUGGGGAGCGAACGGAAUUAGAUACUCCGGUAGUCCACGCCCUAAACUAUGGACACUAGGUGUGGUGGGUAUCGACCCCUGCCGUGCCGCAGUUAACACAAUAAGUGUCCCGCCUGGGGACUACGAGCGCAAGCUUAAAACUCAAAGGAAUUGACGGGGCCCCGCACAAGCAGCGGAGCGUGUGGUUUAAUUCGACGUAACACGAAGAACCUUACCGGGGUUUGACAUGUACAUGUAAUCCCGUGAAAACGGGACCCCUCGUAAGAGGCGUGUACACAGGUGUUGCAUGGCUGUCGUCAGCUCGUGCCGUGAGGUGUUGGGUUAAGUCCCGCAACGAGCGCAACCCUUGUCGCCAGUUGCUCUCUCUGGCGAGACUGCCGAGUUUAACUCGGAGGAAGGCGGGGAUGACGUCAAGUCAGCAUGGCCCUUACAUCCCGGGCUACACACACGCUACAAUGGACGGUACAGAGGGUUGCUAAGCCGCGAGGCGGAGCCAAUCCCACAAAACCGUUCUCAGUACAGAUCGCAGUCUGAAACUCGACUGCGUGAAGGCGGAGUUGCUAGUAACCGCAGGUCAGCAUACUGCGGUGAAUAUGUUCCCGGGGCUUGUACACACCGCCCGUCACGUCAUGAAAGCCGGUAACACCUGAAGCCGCUGAGCUAACCCGCAAGGGAGGCAGGUGUCGAGGGUGGGGCUGGUGAUUGGGACGAAGUCGUAACAAGGUAGCGUACCGGAAGGUGUGGCUGGAUCACCUCCUU
This 1493-nucleotide ribosomal RNA is filed under the name uncultured bacterium. RNAcentral describes it as "bacterial SSU rRNA". It matches the Rfam family "Bacterial small subunit ribosomal RNA". The record is from RNAcentral.